This 353-nucleotide unclassified non-coding RNA is filed under the name uncultured soil eukaryote. RNAcentral's name for it is "sequence contains 5.8S rRNA gene, ITS2, 28S rRNA gene". The record is from RNAcentral.
AACGCACAUUGCGCUCCUUGGUAUUCCGGGGAGCACGCCUGUUUGAGAAUCAGUAAAAUUCAUCGGCUUUCUUUGGGGCUCUUUCGGGGGCCUCGGAGGUUGGGCCGGAUAUGGGUCUUUUGCAAGCGCAAGCUCGCAAUGACUUGAAAUUCAAUGUCACGAAAUCAUAAGACGAUUGUCUGGGUUUCAAGCGCAUGAAAGGGUGUUUUCACUUUGCAGUACGCUUGGUUGGCCUACGUCAAGGUAGUCAGUGAUUGAGUCGACUCAGCCAUAACUCGGGGGGUGGUGGCAGUUUGUCAUUGCUUCUUGAACACCUUGGUCUCAAAUCAGGUGGGAAAACCCGCUGAACUUAA